Molecule: long non-coding RNA, 348 nt
Organism: Hermetia illucens (black soldier fly)
Lineage: Eukaryota; Metazoa; Arthropoda; Insecta; Diptera; Stratiomyidae
Exons: 2
Source: RefSeq, a predicted model, not a curated record
CGGGGUUGACCACGUACGUUGAGCUUCUGAUGUCAUCUGGUUGUUAUUGUAGGAAUCGUUUCCAAAGGAAUUGCGAUGCUCUGGUUGGACGUGGUCCUUAACUUUGAUUUGAUGUACAUUAUUAUAAUUACGAAAGAUGCUGUUGUUAACAAAAGGAUAAUAACGUCUCAAUCACUUUGUCCCAAUGAAUGGCAUCUGGGUUUCCGGCAAUCCAUUUCCAUGCUGAGCCUAAUCAGUUUAUAGCUCUUUUGGUUUUAUGUGUUUUAAUUCUCAGAUUAUUGUACAAUUUCGUUAUUUGUUGCAGUUGAUAUUCUAACUGUGGUUAUAAAGAGAUAAUUUCCCUCUGAA